Molecule: RNA transcript, 2167 nt
Organism: Zingiber officinale
Lineage: Eukaryota; Viridiplantae; Streptophyta; Magnoliopsida; Zingiberales; Zingiberaceae
Gene name: serine/threonine-protein kinase STY46-like
Exons: 16
Source: RefSeq, a predicted model, not a curated record
CAGCUACUGCCAACUUCUACCUACGUUGCUUUCCGCCCCGAAUCGUUCUGCUCGGUCGGAGCGUUGCGCCUUUUUCCCCACUCCUAUCAACUUCCGGAAAAGACCCUUCUGCCCCUGCCGCAUUCCUUCCCUUUUCCCCUCGCACCGCCUUGCCGGAUAAUACCACCACGUCGAUCCUCCUUUCGUUUCCAAUCUCGCCUUCGAAAUCGUAGCUGCGGACUGGCUUCGAGGUUGGCCGCGAUCGAUGGAGACGCGGCGGCGCUCUUGAAUCAGAUCGGUGGGGAGGGUAGGCCAUGGGUGCCAGAGCGGCGGAGCCGAUCGAGGAGGUCGGGGAGAGCUCCUCGCCGCCGCGUGUGUCUGGAGGGCAGGCGGCGUACGACAUAAAGAAUGAAAUAUACAAGAGGCUCAUGGAGAGCGGAAACGAGGAGGUUCGGUCGAAUCCCCACUUCAAGGAAUUGUUCGAUGGGCACUUUAGCCGGUUGCCGCCCAGCUAUAAGCUGGACUUGAAUGUUGAUAGAGCCGAAGAUGUUUUGAUACAUCAAAAAAUUCUUGCAGAAGCCAAGGACCCAGAGAAGAGGCCUGUUUUCUAUGUCCGUUUCCAGAAGCUAGAGGAACAAAAUUUGGAUGCAAUAGAGAACAUUGAGGGCUCUGAUGAUGAAACUGAGUUUGGAGAUGCUUUUUCAUCAAGGCAUGGAAGUAGGUUUGCCAUGAUUCAUGAAAUUCUAUUUUCCACCCUUGACAAACCAAAGCUUCUUAGCCAGAUGUUUCAAGUUAAUACACUUGGUAUAUUGCUAAUUUUUGAAGUGCAUCAAAAGCUUUCUACAAUGUUGUCAGAUAUUGGACUCAAUAUCCGGGAGGCUCAUGUAUUUUCAACAACAGAUGGUUAUUCUUUGGAUGUAUUCGUUGUUGAUGGAUGGCAUGAAGAGGAUACAGAUGGUUUGCACAAAGAGAUUGAGUCAGUACUCAACAGAAAUGAGGGUUCCUGGUCUGGUUCAUCUCAUUCUUCAGCCUCAGAGAGGAUACUUGCUGUCGCAAAAGCUGGUGAGUGGGAAAUUGACAGAAGAUCAUUGAAAACAGGAGAGAAAAUUGCAUCUGGGUCUUGUGGAGAUCUGUAUCGUGGCAGUUAUUUAGGGCAGGAUGUUGCCAUUAAAAUUAUCAGAUCUAAUCUUCUCAAUGAUUCUCUGCUACAAGAGUUCCAGCAAGAAGUAUUUAUUCUAAAGAAUGUCCAACAUGAAAAUGUUGUUCGUUUUGUUGGUGCGUGCACAAAACCUCCACAACUUUGCAUUGUAACAGAGUACAUGCAAGGAGGAAACUUGUACGACUAUUUGCAUAAGCAGCAUAACAUCCUUGAACUUUCUAUGUUGCUGAAAAUUUCUAUUGAUGUCUGCAAGGGGAUGGAAUAUUUACAUAAUAACAACAUUGUUCAUAGAGACUUGAAGACAGCCAACCUACUCAUUGAUAGUAAUUUUGUUGUGAAAGUAGCAGAUUUUGGUGUUGCUCGGAUUCAGAAUCAGGGUGGCGUCAUGACAGCAGAAACUGGAACAUAUAGGUGGAUGGCCCCUGAGGUUAUAAAUCAUCUUCCAUAUGAUGAGAAAGCAGAUGUCUUUAGCUUUGGUAUUGUGCUUUGGGAGCUCACAACAUCGAAGAUCCCAUAUGAGAACAUGACACCUCUGCAAGCUGCCCUAGCAGUGAGACAGAGGCUUUCCUUAUCCGCUAUCACUAUCAGGGUCAUCGUCCUGAAAUCCCCGAGACCACGCAUCCUAGAUUGUCCGACUUAAUGAGGAGAUGCUGGGAGGGUAUUCCUACGGAAAGGCCUACAUUCUCAGAAAUAGUGGUUGAACUUGAAGAACUUCUCGAAUAGGUAAGCUCAGGCAUAGCAGUUGAUGAGCCACUGGAUUCAUUUGAUGCAGCAGGCGACAGAACGGCGAUUGUAAAUAUUUCUCAUCUCCUAGCCUUGUCUGAUUUUUAGAUGGAGCAAGGAGACUUGUGGUAGAAACUGUAAUUUUUUACGGGUUUGAUCUAGUUAUAGGUUGCUUGUCCAUGCCUUUCUACGUAUUUUUUGUCUCUAUUGAGAACCUCUGGUGCAAUUUAUGUUGUAUCAAUACAUUGAUUUGGAUCGACAAAAAUAGAAAUGCAGAUCAAUAGGGAAGAAAAAUCUACAUGGUUA